GAUGAAGAACGUAGCGAAAUGCGAUAAGUAAUGCGAAUUGCAGAAUUUCCGUGAGUCAUCGAAUCUUUGAACGCACAUUGCGCCCGUCAGUAUUCUGGCGGGCAUGCCUGUUCGAGCGUCAUUACGCCCCUCAAGUCCCCUGUGGACUUGGUGUUGGGGAUCGGCGAGGCUGGUUUUCCAGCACAGCCGUCCCUUAAAUUAAUUGGAGGUCUCGCCGUGGCCCUCCUCUGCGCAGUAGUAAAACACUCGCAACAGGAGCCCGGCGCGGUCCACUGCCGUAAAACCCCCCAACUUUUUAUAGUUGACCUCGAAUCAGGUAGGACUACCCGCUGAACUUAAGCAUAUCAAUAAGCGGAGGA
RNAcentral lists this unclassified non-coding RNA (359 nucleotides) under soil metagenome. RNAcentral's name for it is "partial contains 5.8S ribosomal RNA, internal transcribed spacer 2, and large subunit ribosomal RNA". The stretch from base 1 to 121 matches the Rfam family "5.8S ribosomal RNA", at positions 35 to 154 of the family's 154-position model. The record is from RNAcentral.